CUGAAAUGUCCUUCCACUUUUCUAGAUCACCAGCACAAUCCUUGCUAUACAGAAAUAAGAAAAAAAAAUCCCAAAUUUAGUCCAACAAGAAAAAUUCAUGUAAUUAAAAUAAUCAUAAUAAACAUAUAAACAAGUCGAAACUCUAUGUUCCAAUGAGAUAUGGUAAUAAAUUUAGAAAAUUGGUUAAUCUGCAACAGAGAGGUCGUAUCAAAAGGUUGUAAAAAUAUAUAAGAAUAUAGAAAAAUCAACUAUAGUUAAAUAGGUAAAAAUGUAAUAAAAAUAGUUUCUUUUUGAUGAGAACCAAUCAUCCUCAUCUCAGAUUUCCCAUGAAAAAGGAAAUAUAACAAUUGGAGAGA
This 356-nucleotide long non-coding RNA is filed under the name Elaeis guineensis (African oil palm). Its description in RNAcentral is "long non-coding RNA (EGUI_LNC016013)". Lineage: Eukaryota; Viridiplantae; Streptophyta; Magnoliopsida; Arecales; Arecaceae. The record is from RNAcentral.